UUUUAAAAACUUGCACAAAUCGAAAUAAACACACAAAAAAAAUUGUAUUUUAUCCUGUGGGUGUUAAGAGAUGUUUCACUUGCUGAGAUUUCCUGUACUUUGCAAAUACAGAAUGCAAACCCUCAACACUGUUAUUAUCUGGUGUGUUUGUCCUGUAUUUACAGUUGUGAUGACCAUGCAGGAGCUAUCAGUGCUAGAGCUUUCAAGAGAGUGCAUGAAAACUGAUGGGAGUGAUUGGAGAAGUUCCCACCACACACAGGGGACAGGUUUGAAAUUUAUCAACCCAAGGGCUAGGCCAUGGUGUAGACUUGUCCCAUGCAUGUGAAAAUGUGCUACUUUCAGGACGUGCAAUUGGUGCUACUCUCUGUGACCACCCACGGGUCAGUUGCUAUAGAACAAUAACAACACGAGACAUCUGCGCAGUUGUCAGAAUGUCACUCAGUCCAUAGGUCCUCCACGGUGCUAUUGCCCUAAGGGAAAUCGGAACUGAAUUUAUGCACAUAGAAUGGUCACCCUGACUUUGAAGCCUCAAACGUGGAUCACAUCUGUGGUGAAGCAUCAAUAUAUGUAGCUGGAUGAGUGACUAGUGGCCCUUGUAUAAUAUGUGAUCUAAGAAAAUUGCUAAUCUUUCCCUGCCGUUUUGAGAAACACAGUCCAAACACGGUCAUAAACAAAUUCCUGCAAUACAUCCCAGUAGGUCCGCCUAGUUUACAACUUAAACUAGUUUGUGAAACAUUUGUCUGUAUACAUUUUAUAUUUUGUACAUUUUUGAUGUAACAUAUCAUGUAAAUAGAAACAGUGAAAUAAAUCAUCUGAAAAGUUUUGUAGUCUUUGUAAAGCCCCGACAACAAGUACUUGGUGUCAGUGGACAUAACUGGGUGAUGUAUUUUCUAUUGGUUGAUUGUUCCUCUAGCUUGUAAACCAGCUUGCAUAUAUUUUUUUGCAAAUGUGCACCCUGUAUCUGUCUAAAUUAUUACUUUGCCAUUAAAGUGGAAUUAUUUAUUGACAACAAGGUGUGGCGUGUAUAUAUGGAGAAAAUUGAAUAAUUAUGCACCGGAAGUAUCAAGCUUUAAAAUGUUGCUUGUACUAUUAAUAUGCCAUAAGUAGGGAUGUAUGUGAAUUUUUAUUUUUCAUUCCUUGUAGAAGGGACCUCAUAGCUUUUAAGUAAGGAAAUAAAUUGAAGGCACUAGGUAUAUCUUUUUAAAUGAAAAGUAUUUAUUCAGUGAAUAUUUUUAGAAAACUCUGACUAAAUGGUUAUAAAAUAAGCAUUAAUAUAAAAUAAAAUGUUGAUAUUCACUUAAUUAUUUGUUUUUAUUCCAUUAAGUCUUUUUUUUAAGCUUUUAGCUCUAAAGAUGCUUUUAACAUAAAAUAAUUUUUCUGGUGAUGCUUUAUUUUUAAUAGAGACUAUAAAAAGAAACAGAACCCCCUUUAAAAUGAGAAUUUUUUCAAAGCACCUCAGUCUCCAACCCCAGUAAUUGGAAUGUUUAUUUGGGUACCCUAAGUAGGGUUUUAAUUCUAAAAACAGGAAAAUUAGAACAGUUAUUGAGCAAAAAUAUAUAUAUUAGUUAAAAUGGAUCUAGUAUCCAUAAUGGAUUAAAAUUUAGGAGAUUGGGAAAUUUCCACAAUUCAUCUUAUCCAGAUAAACACUGAAUUAAUGCAAAACUGGAACAUAAUUCUGACACAUGCAACAUCAGGCUGCAUAAGUGUGAAUCCCAACACUGUCAUUCUUCUCUGUGUGACCUUGGCCAAUUUACUCACCCUCUUUAUGCCUAGUUUCCUCACCUAUCAAAUGAUGAGUAGAAUAAUACCCAUUUCUCACAGAUUACUGUGUUGUUCAGGGGUCAACAGUAUUUAAAAAAAAUUUUUUUAAGAGUGCAUCUUUUAACCAAGUUUUCUCAUUUAUAACAUGGGGGUAGUAACAUUACCUACCUCAUAGGGCUGUUGGUAGCAGUGAGUUUAGAUCUGUAAAGCACUUAAAACAAUGCCUGGCACUCAGGAAACUGAAUAAAUGCCAGCUGCUGUAUUAGCGCUGCCAUUAUAAUCAAUUAAUAAUGUCAGUAGUGUAACAAAUACUCUCAAGAUUCAAUUUGUAAAUGUAUUCAUGGUAAUAUUAAAGCCUUAUGAAAAGUACAUCUUUCAUCCAGUUUCCUAAUCUGUAAAAUGGGAUAGUUACAGUAUCUACUCAUAAGAUUGCUUUGAAGAUG
Long non-coding RNA from Delphinapterus leucas (beluga whale), 2204 nucleotides. Lineage: Eukaryota; Metazoa; Chordata; Mammalia; Artiodactyla; Monodontidae. The record is from Ensembl.